RNAcentral lists this ribosomal RNA (402 nucleotides) under uncultured bacterium. Its description in RNAcentral is "bacterial SSU rRNA". It matches the Rfam family "Bacterial small subunit ribosomal RNA", at positions 917 to 1322 of the family's 1533-position model. The record is from RNAcentral.
GGGCCCGCACAAGCGGUGGAGCAUGUGGUUUAAUUCGAUGAUACGCGAGGAACCUUACCAGGGCUUAAAUGUAGUGGGACAGGUCUAGAGAUAGACCCUUCUUCGGACUCAUUACAAGGUGCUGCAUGGUUGUCGUCAGCUCGUGCCGUGAGGUGUCAGGUUAAGUCCUAUAACGAGCGCAACCCCUAUCGUUAGUUGCCAGCGGGUAAUGCCGGGAACUCUAACGAAACUGCCAGUGCAAACUGUGAGGAAGGUGGGGAUGACGUCAAAUCAUCACGGCCCUUACGUCCUGGGCUACACACGUGCUACAAUGGCCGGUACAGAGAGCAGCCACUGCGCGAGCAGGAGCGAAUCUAUAAAACCGGUCUCAGUUCGGAUCGGAGUCUGCAACUCGACUCCGUG